Molecule: long non-coding RNA, 1351 nt
Organism: Rhineura floridana
Lineage: Eukaryota; Metazoa; Chordata; Lepidosauria; Squamata; Rhineuridae
Exons: 3
Source: RefSeq, a predicted model, not a curated record
UUCUUUCGGAUGAGCCUCUGGAGGCACACCCCCCGUCACCCCGCUCUCGACGCCACGAGAAAUGGACAGGAGAGAGGUUGGACUUGCGAAGGAGUCAGAGAUUACGAUCAAAGACUUUUCCUACUUAAGACUGCAGCUUUCUGGUUCAAGCUGCUGAGUCAACUUUCUUCACACGUUGCAGAGCAUGUCUAGAGUGUAGUUAGGGAAUUCUAGUGAGCUAGCAUUCUAUGAAGCACACUGCUUUUGAUGCAUCCAUUACUUUAAUAAAACAAGAUUUAAUUGCACCUGCGUCUCAGCCUCAUGGAUCCCGCUCUGAAUGGGACAAGCAUCCAGCACCAGCACAUUACAAUUGCUACAACAGCAGAAAAGUCAUUAAGUGGUCCACCAAGACCGUCAGUGAUUUUCAGAACAUUUCCUAGCUCUAAGAGCUGCAGUGAAAUAUGGCACAGCAAAAAAGAAGGAUGCUGAAAGGAGAAAUGAUUUCCACAGAAACCUGAAGAACUGAAUUUAAGAUUGGAAAAAUGUGAAAGUGGGAGAACCGAAAUUAUCAGAUUGUCCAAUCCGUAACAGACCUUUCCCAGGUACUGAUGGACACAUUGGCACCUACAGACACUAGGGAUGGGGUUUGCUCUUUGGUUCUGGUCCAUGGUUUGUUUUUCACAACUGGCUUGUGCCAAUCCACAACAUUUCCCCCCUCCCCAUUCUUUUUGCUGUUUCCGAUCUGCUUGUAAUAGCUAACGAAAUCGCUGCAACCCUACCUUCCUGUUCACCUGCUCCCAUGGGUGAUGCCCUGGUCUCCUCUCGCUUAGACUACUGUAAUGCGCUCUAUGUGGGGUUACCCUUGAAGACAGUCCGGAAAUUACAGCUGAUACAGAAUGCAGCGGCACGCUUGAUUAAGAAUAGCCAUCACCGUGAUCAUAUCACCCCGGUAUUAGUAGAUCUACACUGGUUACCAGUUGUCUACCGGGCCCAAUUCAAGGUGUUGGUGUUGACCUUUAAAGCCCUAUACGGUUCUGGCCCAGUUUAUCUGAAGGAGCACCUCCAGCAUCACCAAUUAUGCCGCCUGACAAGAUCAGCCACACAAGACCUUCUCUCGGUUCCAUCAGCUAAAACAGCUAGGCUGGUGCGGACCAGAGAGAGGGCAUUUUCUAUUGUGGCCCCCACCCUCUGGAAUUCCCUUCCUUUCGAACUUCGCCAUACCCCCUCCCUGACAGGUUUCCGCCGGGCCUUGAAGACCUGGCUAUUCAGGCAGGCCUAUGGGGUCUCCGGGGAUGGGUCAGCUUUUAAUGUUGUUUAGUUUAAUGCUGUUUAAUUUUAAUUGUUGUAUUUUGGGUUUUAUAUUGUAUUUUAU